Molecule: transfer RNA, 60 nt
Filed under: Aacanthocnema dobsoni
Lineage: Eukaryota; Metazoa; Arthropoda; Insecta; Hemiptera; Triozidae
Description: tRNA-Asp
Source: RNAcentral
AAAGAAGUUAGUUAAUUUAAUAAUAUUGAAAUGUCAUAUCAAAGUAAUAUUUUACUUCUU